RNAcentral lists this ribosomal RNA (354 nucleotides) under uncultured bacterium. RNAcentral describes it as "bacterial SSU rRNA". It matches the Rfam family "Bacterial small subunit ribosomal RNA", at positions 28 to 363 of the family's 1533-position model. The record is from RNAcentral.
GAUGAACGCUGGCGGCGUGCUUAACACAUGCAAGUCGAACGAAGCACUUUAUUACGAUUUCUUCGGAAUGACGAUUUAGUGACUGAGUGGCGGACGGGUGAGUAACGCGUGGGUAACCUGCCUCAUACAGGGGGAUAGCAGUUGGAAACGACUGCUAAUACCGCAUAAGCGCACGGUAUCGCAUGAUACAGUGUGAAAAACUCCGGUGGUAUGAGAUGGACCCGCGUCUGAUUAGCUAGUUGGCGAGGUAACGGCCCACCAAAGGCGACGAUCGGUAGCCGGACUGAGAGGUUGAACGGCCACAUUGGGACUGAGACACGGCCCAGACUCCUACGGGAGCAGCAGUGGGGAAUA